This 31-nucleotide non-coding RNA is filed under the name Homo sapiens (human). The record is from RNAcentral. Lineage: Eukaryota; Metazoa; Chordata; Mammalia; Primates; Hominidae.
UCCAUCUGCCUAAUCCCCAAUAACUGUGGUC